AUUGAACGCUGGCGGCAUGCCUUACACAUGCAAGUCGAACGGUAACAGGUCUUCGGAUGCUGACGAGUGGCGAACGGGUGAGUAAUACAUCGGAACGUGCCUAGUAGUGGGGGAUAACCACUCGAAAGAGUGGCUAAUACCGCAUGAGAUCUACGGAUGAAAGCAGGGGAUCGCAAGACCUUGUGCUACUAGAGCGGCCGAUGGCAGGUUAGGUAGUUAGUGGGAUAAAAGCUUACCAAGCCGACGAUCCGUAGCUGGUCUGAGAGGACGAUCAGCCACACUGGGACUGAGACACGGCCCAGACUCCUACGGGAGGCAGCAGUGGGGAAGUUUGGACAAUGGGGGAAAGCCUGAUCCAGCAAUGCCGCGUGCAGGAUGAAGGCCUUCGGGUUGUAAACUGCUUUUGUACGGAACGAAAAGCCCCGGGUUAAUACCCUGGGGUCAUGACGGUACCGUAAGAAUAAGCACCGGCUAACUACGUGCCAGCAGCCGCCGCAG
This 498-nucleotide ribosomal RNA is filed under the name uncultured bacterium. RNAcentral's name for it is "partial 16S ribosomal RNA". It matches the Rfam family "Bacterial small subunit ribosomal RNA", at positions 30 to 523 of the family's 1533-position model. The record is from RNAcentral.